GACGAACGCUGGCGGCGUGCUUAACACAUGCAAGUCGAACGGAAAGGCCCUGCUUUUGUGGGGUGCUCGAGUGGCGAACGGGUGAGUAACACGUGAGUAACCUGCCCUUGACUUUGGGAUAACUUCGGGAAACUGGGGCAAAUACCGGAUAGGCGCUCCUGCUGCAUGGUGGGGGUUGGAAAGUUUCGGCGGUUGGGGAUGGACUCGCGGCUUAUCAGCUUGUUGGUGGGGUAGUGGCUUACCAAGGCUUUGACGGGUAGCCGGCCUGAGAGGGUGACCGGCCACAUUGGGACUGAGAGACGGCCCAGACUCCUACGGGAGGCAGCAGUGGGGAAUAUUGAACAAUGGGAGGAAGCCUGAUGCAGCAACGCCGCGUGCGGGAUGACGGCCUUCGGGUUGUAAACCGCUUUCGCCUGUGACGAAGCGGGAGUGACGGUAAUGGGUAAAGAAGCACCGGCUAACUACGUG
Molecule: ribosomal RNA, 468 nt
Filed under: uncultured bacterium
Lineage: Bacteria
Description: partial 16S ribosomal RNA
Rfam family: Bacterial small subunit ribosomal RNA
Source: RNAcentral